UACGUAGGCAGCGAGCGUUGUUCGGAGUUACUGGGCGUAAAGAGUGCGUAGGCGGUUUUCUAAGUUUGGUGUGAAAUCUCCCGGCUUAACUGGGAGGGUGCGCCGAAAACUGGAAGGCUUGAGUAUGGGAGAGGUAAGCGGAAUUCCUGGUGUAGCGGUGAAAUGCGUAGAUAUCAGGAGGAACACCUGCGGUGUAGACGGCUUACUGGACCAUAACUGACGCUGAGGCACGAAAACGUGGGUAGCAAACAGG
This 253-nucleotide ribosomal RNA is filed under the name uncultured bacterium. RNAcentral's name for it is "partial 16S ribosomal RNA". It matches the Rfam family "Bacterial small subunit ribosomal RNA", at positions 524 to 776 of the family's 1533-position model. The record is from RNAcentral.